Molecule: non-coding RNA, 115 nt
Organism: Danio rerio (zebrafish)
Lineage: Eukaryota; Metazoa; Chordata; Actinopteri; Cypriniformes; Danionidae
Source: Rfam
GCCGGCAGCUAGCUCUCUGCAACUCUCACUUGGUCUGGUACUGAAGCUAAGCAGGGCUGUGCCCGGUCAGUACCUGGAUGGUAGACCACAAGGGAAAGGUAGGUUGCUGCCGGAA